RNAcentral lists this ribosomal RNA (276 nucleotides) under Triticum aestivum (bread wheat). RNAcentral describes it as "partial small subunit ribosomal RNA". The record is from RNAcentral. Lineage: Eukaryota; Viridiplantae; Streptophyta; Magnoliopsida; Poales; Poaceae.
AUGUUCCUUCCUGAUGGGGAAAAAUUCUAUGCUUUUGGCUUGGCAGUAAUGUGUUGGGCUUUGUGGAACUGUCGUAACAAAGUGACGUUUGAGUCCAAACAGAUGAGGUCCCCUUUAUAGGUGGUUUACUCAGCCUGUGGGUAUUUGAAUUACUGGGCAGGACUGAUGAAUGGAGCUGAGCGCGAGGCCAUGGAGCACGGAAUCAAGAUGCUGAAGAUCAACGCGUCGACCUUGAUGCGUAUAUGUGCAGCACCAGGGGAUGCAGGACAGGGAUGA